GCAGGGAAUCCAUUUGCUCAUCACUAAUUAUAAUUAUUGUGCACUGAGUAACCAUAAAUUCCCAUUCUAUUAUAGAAAAAGGAAGGAAAACCCAUCUAAAAAGUCAACAUACACCAAUACAACAAUACAGAGCUCCUUCAAAUGAGGAGGAGAGCGAAGAGAGAAUACAAAUCCCCUGCUCGCAAAAAACUGUGUACUCCAUACCAGCAAUGAGGAGAGGGAGGAUGAAGGAAAUAGUGAAGUUGCUGAACAAGAACAUUUCAGUGAAGAAGAAGAGUCUGUGCAGGAAGAUGGCCCAUGUGACCAGGUCAAGGACAACAAAGAUGAUAAACCUGCAAUUGACCCAUAUUCUAUACCCUUAGUUCUGCUGUUGGAUUUAUCUGGCAGUGGGCUAUGGUAUGUGUCCUUUAUACCAAGCAGCUUAUCUGCCCAUGCAUGGGCAUCCCCGACAGGCCUCCCAGACUGAUACCUGGCCUAAAAUUGGGCAGAUCUCAAUUG
This is a long non-coding RNA of Xenopus tropicalis (tropical clawed frog), 498 nucleotides long. RefSeq lists it as uncharacterized. The record is from RefSeq and is a predicted model, not a curated record. The transcript has 3 exons. Lineage: Eukaryota; Metazoa; Chordata; Amphibia; Anura; Pipidae.